GACGAACGCUGGCGGCGUGCUUAACACAUGCAAGUCGAACGGAAAGGCCCUGCUUUUGUGGGGUGCUCGAGUGGCGAACGGGUGAGUAACACGUGAGUAACCUGCCCUUGACUUUGGGAUAACUUCAGGAAACUGGGGCUAAUACCGGAUAGGAGCUCCUGCUGCAUGGUGGGGGUUGGAAAGUUUCGGCGGUUGGGGAUGGACUCGCGGCUUAUCAGCUUGUUGGUGGGGUAGUGGCUUACCAAGGCUUUGACGGGUAGCCGGCCUGAGAGGGUGACCGGCCACAUUGGGACUGAGAUACGGCCCAGACUCCUACGGGGGGCAGCAGUGGGGAAUAUUGCACAAUGGGCGGAAGCCUGGUGCAGCAACGCCGCGUGCGGGAUGACGGCCUUCGGGUUGUAAACCGCUUUCGCCUGUGACGAAGCGUGAGUGACGGUAAUGGGUAAAGAAGCACCGGCUAACUACGUG
RNAcentral lists this ribosomal RNA (468 nucleotides) under uncultured bacterium. RNAcentral describes it as "partial 16S ribosomal RNA". It matches the Rfam family "Bacterial small subunit ribosomal RNA", at positions 28 to 507 of the family's 1533-position model. The record is from RNAcentral.